This 468-nucleotide ribosomal RNA is filed under the name uncultured bacterium. Its description in RNAcentral is "partial 16S ribosomal RNA". It matches the Rfam family "Bacterial small subunit ribosomal RNA", at positions 28 to 507 of the family's 1533-position model. The record is from RNAcentral.
GACGAACGCUGGCGGCGUGCUUAACACAUGCAAGUCGAACGGAAAGGCCCUGCUUUUGUGGGGUGCUCGAGUGGCGAACGGGUGAGUAUCACGUGAGUAACCUGCCCUUGUCUUUGGGAUAACUUCAGGAAACUGGGGCGAUUACCGGAUAGGAGCUCUCGCUGCACGGUGGGGGUUGGAAAGUUUCGGCGGUUGGGGAUGGUCUCGCGGCUUAUCAGCUUGUUUGUGGGGUAGUGGCUUACCAAGGCUUUGACGGGUAGCCGGCCUGAGAGGGUGACCGGCCACAUUGGGACUGAGGUACGGACCAGACUCCUACGGGAGGCAGCAGGGGGGAAUAUUGCGCAAUGGGCGGAAGCCUGAUGCAGCAACGCCGCGUGCGGGAUGCCGGCCUUCGGGUUGUAAACCGCUUUCGCCUGUGACGAAGCGUGAGUGACGGUAAUGGGUAAAGAAGCACCGGCUAACUACGUG